AAACUGAUCUUCCCGUGAAGAAGCGGGAAUAUACCUAUAAGACGAGAAGACCCCAUGGAGCUUUAAAUCCAACAGCACCUAUUACCCAUACAUCUUUAUAUUUUUUUAGCAAAUGCUCGUUCGGUUUUAGGUUGGGGUGACCAUGGAGUAAAAAAUAACCUCCACGAAAAAAGGCAUAAAACCCUUAUCAAAGAGCCACAUCUCUAUGAAUUAGUAAACUAAUUUCUGAUGAUCCGAUAUUCGAUCAACGAACCAAGUUACCCUGGGGAUAACAGCGCAAUCCGCCUUAAGAGCCCCUAUCGACAGGCGGGUUUACGACCUCGAUGUUGGAUCAGGGUAUCCCAGUGGUGCAACAGCUACUAAAGGUUCGUUUGUUCAACGAUUAAAACCCU
RNAcentral lists this ribosomal RNA (392 nucleotides) under Boophis picturatus. RNAcentral describes it as "partial 16S ribosomal RNA". It matches the Rfam family "Bacterial large subunit ribosomal RNA", at positions 2039 to 2597 of the family's 2925-position model. Lineage: Eukaryota; Metazoa; Chordata; Amphibia; Anura; Mantellidae. The record is from RNAcentral.